GUGCUCGCUGUGGGCAGCACAUAUACUAAAAUAAGAAUGAUAUAGAGACGAUUAGCAUGGCCCCUCGCAAGGGAUGACACUCAAAUUUGUGAAGCAUUAUAUUUUUUA
Molecule: small nuclear RNA, 108 nt
Filed under: Cebus imitator (Panamanian white-faced capuchin)
Lineage: Eukaryota; Metazoa; Chordata; Mammalia; Primates; Cebidae
Source: RNAcentral